GUUGUCUUUGCCGAGUUAUUCAGGCGAAAGACUAGAAAUCUUUUGGGAUCUUCUCGCGCAGGUUCGAAUCCUGCCGACAACG
RNAcentral lists this transfer RNA (82 nucleotides) under Dreissena polymorpha. It matches the Rfam family "tRNA". From Rfam's summary of the family: Transfer RNA (tRNA) molecules are approximately 80 nucleotides in length. Lineage: Eukaryota; Metazoa; Mollusca; Bivalvia; Myida; Dreissenidae. The record is from Rfam by way of RNAcentral.